Molecule: transfer RNA, 75 nt
Filed under: Bacteroidia bacterium
Lineage: Bacteria; Pseudomonadati; Bacteroidota; Bacteroidia
Description: tRNA-Arg
Rfam family: tRNA
About the family: Transfer RNA (tRNA) molecules are approximately 80 nucleotides in length. Their secondary structure includes four short double-helical elements and three loops (D, anti-codon, and T loops).
Source: RNAcentral
GGUCCCGUAGCUCAACUGAAUAGAGUGUCUGACUACGGAUCAGGAGGUUGAAGGUUUGAAUCCUUCCGGGAUCAC